GACGAACGCUGGCGGCGUGCCUAAUACAUGCAAGUCGAGCGAACCAAUGGGAGCUUGCUCCCUGAGGUUAGCGGCGGACGGGUGAGUAACACGUGGGUAACCUGCCUGUGAGAUUGGGAUAACUCCGGGAAACCGGAGCUAAUACCGGAUAAUAUUUUGAACCGCAUGGUUCAAAAUUGAAAGACGGCUUCGGCUGCCACUUACAGAUGGACCCGCGGGGCAUUAGCUAGUUGGUGGGGUAACGGCUCACCAAGGCGACGAUGCGUAGCCGACCUGAGAGGGUGAUCGGCCACACGAGAACGGGGACAGGGCCAAGACUCCUACGGGAGGCAGCAGUAGGGAAUCUUCCGCAAUGGACGAAAGUCUGACGGAGCAACGCCGCGUGAACGAUAAAGGCCUUGGGGUCGUAAAGUUCGGUUGUUAGGGAAGAACAAGUACCAGAGUAACUGCUGGUACCUUGACGGUACCUAACCAGAAAGCCACGGCUAACUACGUG
This 496-nucleotide ribosomal RNA is filed under the name uncultured bacterium. RNAcentral's name for it is "partial 16S ribosomal RNA". It matches the Rfam family "Bacterial small subunit ribosomal RNA", at positions 28 to 507 of the family's 1533-position model. The record is from RNAcentral.